RNAcentral lists this ribosomal RNA (265 nucleotides) under uncultured bacterium. RNAcentral describes it as "partial 16S ribosomal RNA". It matches the Rfam family "Bacterial small subunit ribosomal RNA", at positions 793 to 1055 of the family's 1533-position model. The record is from RNAcentral.
GUCCACGCUGUAAACGAUGGGCACUAGGUGUCGCGGGUAUUGACCCCUGCGGUGCCGCAGCUAACGCAUUAAGUGCCCCGCCUGGGGACUACGGCCGCAAGGUUAAAACUCAAAGGAAUUGACGGGGGCCCGCACAAGCGGUGGAGCAUGUGGUUCAAUUCGACGCAACGCGAAGAACCUUACCCGGGCUAGACAACAGAGGACACCCCUAGAAAUAGGGUCUUCCCUUCGGGGACCUCUGGUUCAGGUGCUGCAUGGCUGUCGU